GUCCUAGCCGUAAACGGUGCAUAUUUGCUGUAAAGGAAUCGACCCCUUUGUGGCGUAGCAAACGCGAUAAAUAUGCCGCCUGGGAAGUACGGUCGCAAGAUUAAAACUCAAAGAAAUUGACGGGGCCUGCACAAGCGGUGGAGUAUGUGGCUUAAUUCGAUGCAACGCGAAGAACCUUACCUGGCCUUGACAUGUAUCUAGUAGAAGGGUGAAAGCCUGACGAGGUAGCAAUACCAGGAUACACAGGUGCUGCAUGGCUGUCGU
RNAcentral lists this ribosomal RNA (264 nucleotides) under uncultured bacterium. RNAcentral's name for it is "partial 16S ribosomal RNA". It matches the Rfam family "Bacterial small subunit ribosomal RNA", at positions 793 to 1055 of the family's 1533-position model. The record is from RNAcentral.